This 259-nucleotide ribosomal RNA is filed under the name Pseudoalteromonas agarivorans. Its description in RNAcentral is "partial 23S ribosomal RNA". It matches the Rfam family "Bacterial large subunit ribosomal RNA", at positions 2692 to 2925 of the family's 2925-position model. Lineage: Bacteria; Pseudomonadati; Pseudomonadota; Gammaproteobacteria; Alteromonadales; Pseudoalteromonadaceae. The record is from RNAcentral.
CCGGAGUGAACGAACCGCUGGUGUUCGGGUUGUCAUGCCAAUGGCAUUGCCCGGUAGCUACGUUCGGAACUGAUAAGCGCUGAAAGCAUCUAAGCGCGAAGCAGGCCUCGAGAUGAUUUCUCACUAGACUUUUAAAGUCUCUGAAGGGCCGUUGAAGACUACAACGUUGAUAGGCAAGAUGUGGAAGUGGUGUGAGCCAUUAAGCUAACUUGUACUAAUUACCCGUGAGGCUUAACCAUACAACGCCAAACGCGUUUUG